Molecule: ribosomal RNA, 382 nt
Filed under: uncultured eukaryote
Lineage: Eukaryota
Description: partial 18S ribosomal RNA
Rfam family: Eukaryotic small subunit ribosomal RNA
Source: RNAcentral
CGAUAGCGUAUAUUAAAGUUGUUGCAGUUAAAAAGCUCGUAGUUGGAUUUCUGGCAGGAGCGUCCGGUCUCACACUCAGUGCGGGAACUUGGAUGUCUCUGGCCAUCUUUGGGGAUAUCCUGUUUGGCAUUAAGUUGUCGGGCAGGGGAUACCCAUCGUUUACUGUGAAAAAAUUAGAGUGUUUAAAGCAGGCUUAUGCCGUUGAAUAUAUUAGCAUGGAAUAAUAAGAUAGGACGUAGGUACUAUUUUGUUGGUUUGCGCACCCACGUAAUGAUUAAUAGAGACAGGCGGGGCUAUUCGUAUUGCAUUGUCAGAGGUGAAAUUCUUGGAUUUCUGCAAGACGAACUACUGCGAAAGCAUUUAGCAAGGAUGUUUUCAUUAA